AUUGAACGCUGGCGGCAGGCCUCACACAUGCAAGUCGAACGAGUGGCGGACGGGUGAGUAAUGUCUGGGAAACUGCCUGAUGGAGGGGGAUAACUAAUGGAAACGGUAGCUAAUACCGCAUACCAUCGGAUGUUCCCAGAUGGGAUUAGCUAGUAGGUGGGGUAAAGGCUCACCUAGGCGACGAUCCCUAGCUGGUCUGAGAGGAUGACCAGCCAAACUGGAACUGAGACACGGGCAAGACUCCUACGGGAGGCAGCAGUGGGGAAUAUUGCACAAUGGGCGCAAGCCUGAUGCAGCCAUGCCGCGUGUAUGAAGAAGGCCUGCGGGUUGUAAAGUACUUUCAGCGGGGAGGCGUUACCCGCAGAAGAAGCAACGGCUAACUCCGUGCCAGCCGCCGCGGUAAUAC
Molecule: ribosomal RNA, 406 nt
Filed under: uncultured bacterium
Lineage: Bacteria
Description: partial 16S ribosomal RNA
Rfam family: Bacterial small subunit ribosomal RNA
Source: RNAcentral